Molecule: small nucleolar RNA, 97 nt
Filed under: Uncinocarpus reesii 1704
Lineage: Eukaryota; Fungi; Ascomycota; Eurotiomycetes; Onygenales; Onygenaceae
Description: A. fumigatus snoRNA Afu_190
Rfam family: A. fumigatus snoRNA Afu_190
Source: Rfam by way of RNAcentral
AUAUGAUGAAAAACUUUCGCUGGCACCAGUCCUAGAAAGACUUGUACUCUGUUUGCUGCGGACAACCCCCUGGCUUAAAAAAAGCCGUUUAUCUGAU